UACGAAGGGGGCUAGCGUUGUUCGGAAUUACUGGGCGUAAAGGGCGCGUAGGCGGCCAUUCAAGUUAGGUGUGAAAGCCCUGGGCUCAACCUAGGAAUUGCACUUGAUACUGUUUGGCUUGAGUUCGGGAGAGGUGAGUGGAAUUCCCAGUGUAGAGGUGAAAUUCGUAGAUAUUGGGAAGAACACCAGUGGCGAAGGCGGCUCACUGGACCGACACUGACGCUGAGGCGCGAAAGCUAGGGGAGCAAACAGG
RNAcentral lists this ribosomal RNA (253 nucleotides) under uncultured bacterium. RNAcentral's name for it is "partial 16S ribosomal RNA". It matches the Rfam family "Bacterial small subunit ribosomal RNA", at positions 524 to 776 of the family's 1533-position model. The record is from RNAcentral.